CUUUUUAUAUCGCGCCUUUAUUUUCGCUUUAGGGAACCCUCUAAAAGAUAUGUUCUUCGUCAAUUCGAACCGGACGAGACGGGACGGGACGGGAGAAGAAGGAGGAGAAGGGAAGAGGUAGGUCCUCUCCUGACGAAGUCCAAGAGGAAGAAGGUCCGCGAAAGGAGUGGGGGUUAGCGCCGGUUUUAAGGCCUGGAAAAGGUCGCCGUCUUGGCAACUCACGCCGCCGCCGCUGGCGGAUGGCUCGGUUCUUAGGUAUCCAAAGGAAGACCGCUCGAUCCGGAAGAGGAUCUCCGCAAAGAACCCUCGGUAUAAACCAAGGCCUAGGUACGACCGGCUGCUGUAGAACCCGAGGGGAAAGGGGCGGAUCAUAAUAACAGAAGCGUUCCCAAAGAACCAAGGAGCCUCCAGGAGGUUCAAGAACGGUUAGACCCGUUAGACCGGGGUUGGGGCCCCGCGCCGGCACAAUCCCAAGCCCCCCGACCUACCCCAGCCAGCACCUAAAACACCUCUAGUCGAGGCUGCUCCUCCUGGAAGGGUACGGGUCCUUCGGUCAACUGCUGACCGAACCCUUCGAAAACUUACUACUACUCGGUUUACCUCUGCUAAAGAAACUAGAACACCACUACCCACUCAAGAGCGGCGGUGUCUUCUUCCGGUUGGGACCGCCGCCGCCGCCCCCGCCACCACCACUACUACUCCUACUACUACUAACACACCAAGAUCUACCACUGGGACUCUUCCGCUAAUGGUAGCCCCUCCUGUUCCCCUCACACCCUCUAUCGUCGAGGCUACUUAACGUCUAUCAACCCCUCUUUCCUGGCCAUCGCACGUCCCUGAAGGGAGUAAGUGCGGUAGAUACAAGAUUGAACGGGAAGUCGCGAUGAAGAGUACACUUCGUAACAUCGUACACAGUGACAAAACAUACGCUACGAGGUCGAGGUACAUUAAUAACCCCAUUUCCAUAGGUCGAAUUACUAGUAACAGUACGAUGCCUAUUCCUUAGUUUCACCUUUGUCGACGCCGUUCGUAAGUUCAGAUUUUCAGAAGGUCGUAGAGCAGGUCUUGUUACGGUCUUACGGUAGAUGGGUUGUUACCGUGGUAGGUAAUUCUUCCUAUAUGUCACAGUUCAGAGCAGAAAACGUUUGUCUUCAGGAGAAGACGUACAAUACUCGGUUUUGGUUGUUUCUGUGUGAAGUCAAUCUCAGAGUGACUUACAUCCUGCCUGAUAGUCAUGUGGUUCUCGUAGGGAACGCUGUUUUCGCCACUCUUCAUGUUUGUUACAGGUGUGACGAGUUUUGUAGGUAAGUGCACCUUUGAAGUUUUCUCAUCUAUGUCGAAGAGGUCCAGUGUGUUAGGCUUUACGAUUGGCUAAACCAAGAUCACGAGGUUAGUCAUGGGACAGGGAAUACUUGUUACGUAACGGUGUACAUAGUGUCGGUCAAGUUCGAUAUGGUCCUUGAUUAUGACGAGUACAUAGAGUCGUUCAAGUUGGUGUUCCUUGGUUAGGAAAGUCACCAUGACAGUUCUUUUCACGGGGAGUCUCUAGAGAGUCACGCGGUUAUCGUAGAGUCCCCGUUGUUCCAGUCGACCGUGGUAGAAGAGUCCGACGGAGUUUACAUCACGUACCGCAUCCUGGAGUUGAAAGGGCCACGUGGAGCGAAUACUUACUCUCUUCUGUUAAGGACGGUCUUGGUCAUUAGCUACAAAGGUGUGUUUCGACCGUUCUGUAUGAACGAUCACACCGUAGCCUAGACCCUCAUAACCUACUAAGACGAAUGUUAUGGUCAUGAAGUGUAAGGGUCGUCGGACACUCCUGAAGGGGGGUUGGAGACCUACGGCCACGUUUGGUUCCCCUCCCCCCGGAAGUGCGGCUCAGACAACGCAGUCGCCAUUUGGACUACUGAAGAUUACCCGUACCGAACGGGUAAGUAUGUUGUCCACCACCAUGGGUCUGUUUACGAGGAUUCGUUUGAAACGUAGGAGACUUAAUACCACCGUCAGAAUCAGGUCUACUUCGAGUAGAACUACCAAAAGAUUCGGGGGGACGUCUACUUAAUAACAAUCUUCGACGAGUCGUCUCCCUGAGAAGGCCUAACCUAAGAUGUCCGGAAUAUAAACUGAAACUUGAGCUGCUGACCCGAAUUCGUCGUGAGAGUCUCAGUCUCCGACAGGGCAGAAAUCGUAAACCGCCCGAAGCACCUGUUAUUUUGGCCACUACCAUGAUCAUCGACCAGGCAUCCCAAAGGAAGUGUGCUCUCCACUUCUACAAGGAACAUGUCAUUAAUUGAUCCAACACACCACCUCUAUAAAAGAAUCUACCCAACCACAAAUUGGACAGCCAGUAUGCCCGGAAAAAUAAUCCUCCGGAAUCUACGAUCAUUAGAAACAGUGCGACAUUAUCUUCUCGUCUUAAAGGUGAUGGAUCGACAACCAGUAUAAAGAUACUCGGUAUAUGAUAAGAUCGCGGUUUUUGCGGACAAACACCAUGUACAACAACUAACGGACGACCGUAACACUCCGUAAACUAAUACGUACGAACUAUCAUAAUAAUCCUCUUUUCUCACG
This 2568-nucleotide ribosomal RNA is filed under the name Triticum aestivum (bread wheat). RNAcentral describes it as "partial small subunit ribosomal RNA". Lineage: Eukaryota; Viridiplantae; Streptophyta; Magnoliopsida; Poales; Poaceae. The record is from RNAcentral.